RNAcentral lists this ribosomal RNA (216 nucleotides) under Glomeromycotina sp. RNAcentral's name for it is "partial small subunit ribosomal RNA". The stretch from base 75 to 216 matches the Rfam family "Eukaryotic small subunit ribosomal RNA", at positions 721 to 864 of the family's 1831-position model. Lineage: Eukaryota; Fungi; Glomeromycota. The record is from RNAcentral.
GGGUCAGUAGGUUGGUCGUGCCACCGGUACGUACUGGUCUCACUGAUUCCUCCUACCAGAAGAACCGUAAUGCCAUUAAUUUGGUGUUGCGCGGAAACAGGACUGUUACUUUGAAAAAGUUAGAGUGUUUAAAGCAAGCUAACGCUUGAAUACAUUAGCAUGGAAUAAUGAAAUAGGACGAUCGAUCCUAUUUUGUUGGUUUCUAGGAUUGACGUA